CGAGGACGAACGCUGGCGGCAUGCCUAACACAUGCAAGUCGAACGGACGAGAUUCCUUCGGGGAUCAAGUUAGUGGCGAACGGGUGAGUAACGCGUGAGGAACCUGCCUUUCAGAGGGGGACAACAGUUGGAAACGACUGCUAAUACCGCAUAACGCAGCGAGACCGCAUGAUCUUGCUGCCAAAGAUUUUAUCGCUGAAAGAUGGCCUCGCGUCUGAUUAGAUAGUUGGUGAGGUAACGGCCCACCAAGUCUGCGAUCAGUAGCCGGACUGAGAGGUUGAACGGCCACAUUGGGACUGAGAUACGGCCCAGACUCCUACGGGAGGCAGCAGUGGGGAAUAUUAGGCAAUGGGGGCAACCCUGACCUAGCAACGCCGCGUGAAGGAAGAAGGCUUUCGGGUUGUAAACUUCUUUUACCAGGGACGAAGGACGUGACGGUACCUGGAGAAAAAGCCACGGCUAACUACGUG
RNAcentral lists this ribosomal RNA (470 nucleotides) under uncultured bacterium. Its description in RNAcentral is "bacterial SSU rRNA". It matches the Rfam family "Bacterial small subunit ribosomal RNA", at positions 26 to 507 of the family's 1533-position model. The record is from RNAcentral.